Molecule: non-coding RNA, 77 nt
Organism: Phrynosoma platyrhinos (Desert horned lizard)
Lineage: Eukaryota; Metazoa; Chordata; Lepidosauria; Squamata; Phrynosomatidae
Source: the annotation of a GenBank genome assembly
GCCAGCAUAGUGCAAUGGUUUGAACGUUGGACUAUAAGUCCAAUUUGGUUUAUUAUGGUUCAAUUCCUCAUUUGGCC